Molecule: ribosomal RNA, 697 nt
Filed under: uncultured bacterium
Lineage: Bacteria
Description: bacterial SSU rRNA
Rfam family: Bacterial small subunit ribosomal RNA
Source: RNAcentral
AAAUUGAAAGUCGGCUUCGCCUGUCAUUUAUGGAUGGUUCCGCGUCGCACUAGCUAGUUGGUGAGGUAACGACUCACCAAGGCAUCGCUGCGUACCCGACCUGAGAGGGUGAUCGGCCACACUGGGCCUGAGACACGUCCCAGACUCCUACGGGAGGCAGCAGUAGGGAAUCUUCCGCAAUGGACGAAAGUCUGACGGAGCAACGCCGCGUGAGUGAUGAAGGCUUUCGGGUCGUAAAACUCUGUUGUUAGGGAAGAACAAGUGCUAGUUGAAUAAGCUGGCACCUUGACGGUACCUAACCAGAAAGCCACGGCUAAUUCCGUGCCAGCACCCGCGGUAAUACGUAGGUGGCGAUCCUUAUCCGGAAUUAUUGGGCGUAAACCUCGCGCAGGUGGUUUGUUAAGUCUGAUGUGACAGCCCGCGGCUCCACCGUGGAGGGUCAUUGGAACCUGGGAGCCUUGAGUACAGAAGAGGAAAGUGGAAUUCCAUGUGUAGCGGUGAAAUUCGUAGAGAUAUGGAGGAACACCAGUGGCGAAGGCGACUUUCUGGUCUGUAACUGACAUUGAGGCGCGAAAGCGUGGGGAGCAAACAGGAUUAGAUACCCUGGUAGUCCACGCCGUAAACGAUGAGUGCUAAGUGUUAGAGGGUUUCCACCCUUUAGUGCUGAAGCAAACGCAUUAAUCACUCCCCCUGGGGA